AUACUUAACUAAAUAGGUGGUUUUCUCAGGGUGAGGCUCCUCUGUUGCACUGUGGUUGUGCUGACUCCUGUAAUUUCCCCAAAUGGUGAAAGCUUGACUGUACAAUUUCUGGCAGUGGGGUGACUACAUUCAUGCUUUUCUUUG
RNAcentral lists this small nuclear RNA (144 nucleotides) under Pelodiscus sinensis (Chinese soft-shelled turtle). Its description in RNAcentral is "U1 spliceosomal RNA (ENSPSIG00000019362.1)". It matches the Rfam family "U1 spliceosomal RNA". From Rfam's summary of the family: U1 is a small nuclear RNA (snRNA) component of the spliceosome (involved in pre-mRNA splicing). Its 5' end forms complementary base pairs with the 5' splice junction, thus defining the 5' donor site of an intron. Lineage: Eukaryota; Metazoa; Chordata; Testudines; Trionychidae. The record is from RNAcentral.